This 170-nucleotide non-coding RNA is filed under the name Nitratireductor indicus. RNAcentral describes it as "FMN sequence". It matches the Rfam family "FMN riboswitch aptamer (RFN element)". Rfam says of the family: The RFN element is a highly conserved domain that is found frequently in the 5'-untranslated regions of prokaryotic mRNAs that encode for flavin mononucleotide (FMN) biosynthesis and transport proteins. RNAcentral also lists the same sequence under 1 other name. Lineage: Bacteria; Pseudomonadati; Pseudomonadota; Alphaproteobacteria; Hyphomicrobiales; Phyllobacteriaceae. The record is from RNAcentral.
CCGCGUUCUCAGGGCGGGGCGAAAUUCCCCACCGGCGGUAUGCGGCUUCGGGCCGCGAGCCCGCGAGCGCUUUCCCGGUCCGGCUCCCACAGGGGCGGUUUCGGAAAAGGCCAGCAGAUCAGGUGAGAUGCCUGAGCCGACGGUUACAGUCCGGAUGAAAGAGAACGAGC